GAUGAACGCUGGCGGCGUGCCUAAUACAUGCAAGUAGAACGCUGAAGGAGGGGCUUGCUCUUCUGGAUGAGUUGCGAACGGGUGAGUAACGCGUAGGUAACCUGCCUGGUAGCGGGGGAUAACUAUUGGAAACGAUAGCUAAUACCGCAUGACAACAGUUAUUGCAUGAUAACUGUUUAAAAGGGGCAACUGCUCCACUACCAGAUGGACCUGCGUUGUAUUAGCUAGUUGGUGAGGUAACGGCUCACCAAGGCGACGAUACAUAGCCGACCUGAGAGGGUGAUCGGCCACACUGGGACUGAGACACGGCCCAGACUCCUACGGGAGGCAGCAGUAGGGAAUCUUCGGCAAUGGACGGAAGUCUGACCGAGCAACGCCGCGUGAGUGAAGAAGGUUUUCGGAUCGUAAAGCUCUGUUGUAAGAGAAGAACGAGUGUGAGAGUGGAAAGUUCACACUGUGACGGUAUCUUACCAGAAAGGGACGGCUAACUACGUG
This 495-nucleotide ribosomal RNA is filed under the name uncultured bacterium. RNAcentral's name for it is "partial 16S ribosomal RNA". It matches the Rfam family "Bacterial small subunit ribosomal RNA", at positions 28 to 507 of the family's 1533-position model. The record is from RNAcentral.